GAUGAACGCUGGCGGCGUGCUUAACACAUGCAAGUCGAACGAAGCGCUUGAAACAGAUUCUUCGGAUGAAGUUUCCUGUGACUGAGUGGCGGACGGGUGAGUAACGCGUGGGUAACCUGCCUCAUACAGGGGGAUAACAGUUAGAAAUGGCUGCUAAUACCGCAUAAGCGCACGGCAUCGCAUGAUGCAGUGUGAAAAACGCCGGGGGUAUGAGAUGGACCCGCGUUGGAUUAGCUAGUUGGCAGGGUAACGGCCUACCAAGGCGACGAUCCAUAGCCGGCCUGAGAGGGGGGACGGCCACAUUGGGACUGAGACACGGCCCAGACUCCUACGGGAGGCAGCAGUGGGGAAUAUUGCACAAUGGGGGAAACCCUGAUGCAGCGACGCCGCGUGAGCGAAGAAGUAUUUUGGUAUGUAAAGCUCUAUCAGCAGGGAAGAGAAUGACGGUACCUGACUAAGAAGCCCCGGCUAACUACGUGCCAGCCGCCGCCGUAA
RNAcentral lists this ribosomal RNA (495 nucleotides) under uncultured bacterium. Its description in RNAcentral is "partial 16S ribosomal RNA". It matches the Rfam family "Bacterial small subunit ribosomal RNA", at positions 28 to 523 of the family's 1533-position model. The record is from RNAcentral.